AUGCUGGAGGUAUCAGAAGUGCGAAUGCUGACAUAAGUAACGAUAAAGCGGGUGAAAAGCCCGCUCGCCGGAAGACCAAGGGUUCCUGUCCAACGUUAAUCGGGGCAGGGUGAGUCGACCCCUAAGGCGAGGCCGAAAGGCGUAGUCGAUGGGAAACAGGUUAAUAUUCCUGUACUUGGUGUUACUGCGAAGGGGGGACGGAGAAGGCUAUGUUGGCCGGGCGACGGUUGUCCCGGUUUAAGCGUGUAGGCUGGUUUUCCAGGCAAAUCCGGAAAAUCAAGGCUGAGGCGUGAUGACGAGGCACUACGGUGCUGAAGCAACAAAUGCCCUGCUUCCAGGAAAAGCCUCUAAGCAUCAGGUAACAUCAAAUCGUACCCCAAACCGACACAGGUGGUCAGGUAGAGAAUACCAAGGCGCUUGAGAGAACUCGGGUGAAGGAACUAGGCAAAAUGGUGCCGUAACUUCGGGAGAAGGCACGCUGAUAUGUAGGUGAAGUCCCUCGCGGAUGGAGCUGAAAUCAGUCGAAGAUACCAGCUGGCUGCAACUGUUUAUUAAAAACACAGCACUGUGCAAACACGAAAGUGGACGUAUACGGUGUGACGCCUGCCCGGUGCCGGAAGGUUAAUUGAUGGGGUUAGCGCAAGCGAAGCUCUUGAUCGAAGCCCCGGUAAACGGCGGCCGUAACUAUAACGGUCCUAAGGUAGCGAAAUUCCUUGUCGGGUAAGUUCCGACCUGCACGAAUGGCGUAAUGAUGGCCAGGCUGUCUCCACCCGAGACUCAGUGAAAUUGAACUCGCUGUGAAGAUGCAGUGUACCCGCGGCAAGACGGAAAGACCCCGUGAACCUUUACUAUAGCUUGACACUGAACAUUGAGCCUUGAUGUGUAGGAUAGGUGGGAGGCUUUGAAGUGUGGACGCCAGUCUGCAUGGAGCCGACCUUGAAAUACCACCCUUUAAUGUUUGAUGUUCUAACGUUGACCCGUGAUCCGGGUUGCGGACAGUGUCUGGUGGGUAGUUUGACUGGGGCGGUCUCCUCCUAAAGAGUAACGGAGGAGCACGAAGGUUGGCUAAUCCUGGUCGGACAUCAGGAGGUUAGUGCAAUGGCAUAAGCCAGCUUGACUGCGAGCGUGACGGCGCGAGCAGGUGCGAAAGCAGGUCAUAGUGAUCCGGUGGUUCUGAAUGGAAGGGCCAUCGCUCAACGGAUAAAAGGUACUCCGGGGAUAACAGGCUGAUACCGCCCAAGAGUUCAUAUCGACGGCGGUGUUUGGCACCUCGAUGUCGGCUCAUCACAUCCUGGGGCUGAAGUAGGUCCCAAGGGUAUGGCUGUUCGCCAUUUAAAGUGGUACGCGAGCUGGGUUUAGAACGUCGUGAGACAGUUCGGUCCCUAUCUGCCGUGGGCGCUGGAGAACUGAGGGGGGCUGCUCCUAGUACGAGAGGACCGGAGUGGACGCAUCACUGGUGUUCGGGUUGUCAUGCCAAUGGCACUGCCCGGUAGCUAAAUGCGGAAGAGAUAAGUGCUGAAAGCAUCUAAGCACGAAACUUGCCCCGAGAUGAGUUCUCCCUGACUCCUUGAGAGUCCUGAAGGAACGUUGAAGACGACGACGUUGAUAGGCCGGGUGUGUAAGCGCAGCGAUGCGUUGAGCUAACCGGUACUAAUGAACCGUGAGGCUUAACCUUACAACGCCGAAGGUGUUU
Molecule: ribosomal RNA, 1693 nt
Filed under: Escherichia coli
Lineage: Bacteria; Pseudomonadati; Pseudomonadota; Gammaproteobacteria; Enterobacterales; Enterobacteriaceae
Description: partial 23S ribosomal RNA
Rfam family: Bacterial large subunit ribosomal RNA
Source: RNAcentral